This 200-nucleotide ribosomal RNA is filed under the name uncultured bacterium. RNAcentral's name for it is "partial 16S ribosomal RNA". It matches the Rfam family "Bacterial small subunit ribosomal RNA", at positions 29 to 230 of the family's 1533-position model. The record is from RNAcentral.
AACAAACGCUGGCGGCGUGCCUAAUACAUGCAAGUCGAACGGGGAAAGCCUUCGGGCGAGUACUAGUGGCGCACGGGUGAGUAACACGUGGGUAAUCUUCCCCAGAGUAUGGGAUAACCUUCCGAAAGGAAAGCUAAUACCACAUAAGACCACAGGAUCUGCGGAUCCAGAGGUCAAAGGUUUUUCGCUCUGGGAUGAGC